Molecule: transfer RNA, 82 nt
Filed under: Clostridiales bacterium
Lineage: Bacteria; Bacillati; Bacillota; Clostridia; Eubacteriales
Also listed under: 1 other name
Description: tRNA-Ala
Rfam family: tRNA (bases 15-71)
About the family: Transfer RNA (tRNA) molecules are approximately 80 nucleotides in length.
Source: RNAcentral
CGGAAGUGUAUUUCUAGCGCAACUGGCAGCGCGCUUGACUGGCAGUCAGAGGUCGUGGGUUCAAGUCCCACCGCUCCGACCA